This 406-nucleotide ribosomal RNA is filed under the name uncultured bacterium. RNAcentral's name for it is "partial 16S ribosomal RNA". It matches the Rfam family "Bacterial small subunit ribosomal RNA", at positions 29 to 526 of the family's 1533-position model. The record is from RNAcentral.
AUUGAACGCUGGCGGCAGGCCUAACACAUGCAAGUCGAGCGAGCGGCGGACGGGGGAGAAAUGUCUGGGAAAAUGCCUGCUGGCGGGGGAUAACUACUGGAAACGGUAGCUAAUACCGCAUACCAUCAGAUGUGCCCAGAUGGGAUUAGCUAGUAGGUGGGGUAACGGCUCACCUAGGCGACGAUCCCUAGCUGGUCUGAGAGGAUGACCAGCCACACGGGAACUGAGACACGGUCCAGACUCUGACGGGAGGCAGAAGUGGGGAAUAUGGCACAAUGGGCGCAAGCCUGAUACAGCCAUGCCGCGUGUGUGAAGAAGGCCUUCGGGUUGUAAAGCACUUUCAGCGGGGAGGCGUUACCCGCAGAAGAAGCACCGGCUAACUCCGUGCCAGCAGCCGCGGUAAUUC